This is a long non-coding RNA of Saccostrea echinata, 1477 nucleotides long. RefSeq lists it as uncharacterized. The transcript has 5 exons. Lineage: Eukaryota; Metazoa; Mollusca; Bivalvia; Ostreida; Ostreidae. The record is from RefSeq and is a predicted model, not a curated record.
AAAUUAUGAAAUUAUUUUACUUGUAUCAAGCCUUAAAUUUAGACCUUAAAUAUAGACUUUAGUUCUGUCUUUAGGGCCAUGGAGCAGUGAGAGUUCUGAAGCAUUGUAAACAGAUUUUAAAAUGGAGAAGGCAGAAAAUUCCUUGAAGUUAGCAUUGCCAGUCUUGCGCUCUCACAGAACAACUGGUCUGUAAACAAUGUACCCAUGUUAAACAGCCAGACAACAGUUCCUGAAGGGCCACACUCUCUUCCAAGUUUGCAGAGAGGAUUUUGCAUGGAAGAGAUCUUUUGUUGGAAAGCAACUAUGCAGUUUAUGCUACCUUUAGGCUGAAAGUCCAGUUGUGGCAUCUAUUACAAAAAAUCAAGAUCUUGCAUCUUUAAUUGGACUGCCACAUAUGUCAAGAGUCCCAACAUCCCAGAGAGUACCUGAUGGGUUAUAAAGGAUGUGAUGUGUUUUGAUACCACUUCCUCUGUUAAAAGACACAAAUGAACAUUUCCUGAUGUUUUGAGGAAUUUUCAACAAGGAGGUGGUCUUGUUUAUAUGUCUUACAGAUUAUCCUAUGUCUUUAAAUGGAAAUUAUGCAUGUUAACUGUUCAUAUGUGUUUGUACUCAAUUACAUGGUUUUGUCCAGACAUUUUACUGUAAAAUCAUAUUUUUCGUAGUUUAAGGAAAACAUGUUGGAUUGUUAGCAUUUGAUUUCUUAAUUAAAUUAGUGCUGAGUAGUUAUAAUUAGAAGUUUUUCUUUUCAUGGAUGACAUGAAUUUGUGGUUCUCUCCAUACCUUGAACAAUGAUAAUUAAGCCCCAGUGAAAAUUAGUUAUUUCAAAACAUGAGACUUAAACUAAUGGAUUUCUCUGAAAAUUUUUACACUUUUAUUGACCAUAUCAAGAUGUGCAUUAUAUAAUAGCAUAUUGAUUGUACAAUUUUGGUUUCAUUUUACAGGUGUUUUUUUUUUUUCAACUUUAUAGACAUUUUUUGGUCAUAGUCCACAAUAUAUUUUAAAAACUGCGGAAUAUAUAUUGAAUUCACAACUAUGUAAACAUUGUGCUUUCUCUGAAGGUUUGCAUCUGACAUUUUAAAAUAAAUUUCUUGAAGUUAAAGGAAGAUAUAAAGAAUGUUAAUAUCAGAGGAAGGACUUAUUUUGUCAUUGUGACUGGGGUCUUAUAGACAGACAACAUGAAGACAUUUGCAGGUUCAAUAGGUUGUUUAAUUUCCCAGCUGUAAUUUGUAAUAAAUAUAGAACAUGGAUAAAUUGGGAAAAUGAUCACCCAGUAAAUAUUCAUAUAAAUAAAAUUAGUACAGUAUAAUAAAAAUGGGAUGACAAUUCUUGAAGCGUACAAUAUACUUGUAUAAAAAUCACAAUACAUUCUAUGCAUAUUAUGAAAGAGUUAUUCCCCUUUUCACAGUGAUCAUUUAUACUUGUAUGAUUAUAUAUUCUCUUGAAACAUAUAUUGAAUUGUUUUACAUUAUUUAAUUGU